AAGUCGUAACAAGGUUUCCGUAGGUGAACCUGCGGAAGGAUCAUUAAUGAAUUGAAAGGGAGUUGAUGCUGGCCAGGUCUCUGGCAUGUGCUCGCUUCCGACAAUCUUAUCCAUACACCUGUGCACACUGUGAGGGCAUGCAAGUGCCCUUAUUUACUACAUACACCUAAUAUGGAAAUCGCACGUGACUUGCGUCGUAUGGCGCUUAAAACUAAAAACAACUUUUAACAACGGAUCUCUUGGUUCUG
This 248-nucleotide unclassified non-coding RNA is filed under the name Rhizoctonia sp. Its description in RNAcentral is "partial internal transcribed spacer region". The stretch from base 1 to 46 matches the Rfam family "Eukaryotic small subunit ribosomal RNA", at positions 1786 to 1831 of the family's 1831-position model. The record is from RNAcentral. Lineage: Eukaryota; Fungi; Basidiomycota; Agaricomycetes; Cantharellales; Ceratobasidiaceae.